Molecule: ribosomal RNA, 324 nt
Filed under: uncultured eukaryote
Lineage: Eukaryota
Description: partial 18S ribosomal RNA
Rfam family: Eukaryotic small subunit ribosomal RNA
Source: RNAcentral
CCCUUAGAUGUUCUGAACCGCACGCGUGUUACACUGAUGCAUUCAACGAGCUUUACCUUGGCCGAGAGGCCUGGGAAAUCUUUUUAGCAUGCAUCGUGAUAGGGAUUGAUUAUUGCAAUUAUUAAUCAUGAACGAGGAAUUCCUAGUAAACGCAUUUCAUCAAAAUGCAUUGAUUACGCCCCUGCCCUUUGUACACACCGCCCGUCGCACCUACCGAUUGAGUGGUCCGGUGAAGUCUCGAGAUUGUGGCAAUCUCCUUUAUUGGAGUUUGACUGCGAGAACUUGCCUAAACCUUAUCACUUAGAGGAAGGUGAAGUCGUAACA